GAUGAACGCUGGCGGCGUGCCUAAUACAUGCAAGUCGAGCGAACAGAUGAGGAGCUUGCUCCUCUGACGUUAGCGGCGGACGGGUGAGUAACACGUGGAUAACCUACCUAUAAGACUGGGAUAACUUCGGCAAACCGGAGCUAAUACCGGAUAAUAUAUUGAACCGCAUGGUUCAAUAGUGAAAGACGGUUUUGCUGUCACUUAUAGAUGGAUCCGCGCCGCAUUAGCUAGUUGGUAAGGUAACGGCUUACCAAGGCAACGAUGCGUAGCCGACCUGAGAGGGUGAUCGGCCACACUGGAACUGAGACACGGUCCAGACUCCUACGGGAGGCAGCAAUAGGGAAUCUUCCGCAAUGGGCGAAAGCCUGACGGAGCAACGCCGCGUGAGUGAUGAAGGUCUUCGGAUCGUAAAACUCUGUUAUUAGGGAAGAACAAAUGUGUAAGUAACUAUGCACGUCUUGACGGUACCUAAUCAGAAAGCCACGGCUAACUACGUG
RNAcentral lists this ribosomal RNA (497 nucleotides) under uncultured bacterium. RNAcentral describes it as "partial 16S ribosomal RNA". It matches the Rfam family "Bacterial small subunit ribosomal RNA", at positions 28 to 507 of the family's 1533-position model. The record is from RNAcentral.